Molecule: ribosomal RNA, 468 nt
Filed under: uncultured bacterium
Lineage: Bacteria
Description: partial 16S ribosomal RNA
Rfam family: Bacterial small subunit ribosomal RNA
Source: RNAcentral
GACGAACGCUGGCGGCGUGCUUAACACAUGCAAGUCGAACGGAAAGGCCCUGCUUUUGUGGGGUGCUCGUGUGGCGAACGGGUGAGUAACACGUGUGUAACCUGCCCUUGACUGUGGGAUAACUUCAGGAAAAUGGGGCUAAUAUCGGGUAGGAGCUCCUGCUGCAUGGUGGGGGUUGGAAAGUUUCGGCUGUUGUGGAUGGACUCGCGGCUUAUCAGCUAGUUGGUGGGGUAGUGGCUUACCAAGGCUUUGACGGGUAGCCGGCCUGAGAGGGUGGCCGGCCACAAGGGGACUGAGGUACGGCCCAGACGCGUACGGGAGGCAGUAGUGGGGAAUAUUGCACAACGGGCGCAAGCCUGAGGCAGCAACGCCGCGUGCGGAAUGACGGCUUUCGGGGUGUAAACCGCUUUCGCAUGUGACGAAGAGUGAGUGACGGUAACGGGUAAAGAAGCACCGGCUAACUACGUG